This is a transfer RNA of Camelus ferus (Wild Bactrian camel), 72 nucleotides long. It matches the Rfam family "tRNA". From Rfam's summary of the family: Transfer RNA (tRNA) molecules are approximately 80 nucleotides in length. Lineage: Eukaryota; Metazoa; Chordata; Mammalia; Artiodactyla; Camelidae. The record is from Rfam.
GUGGGUAUAGCUCAGUGGUAGAGCACAUGCUUAGCAUGCAUGAGGUCCUGGGUUUAAUUCCCAGUACCUCCA